GGGGGCGUAGUUCAGCUGGUUAGAACGUCGGCCUGUCACGCCGAAGGUCGCGAGUUCGAGUCUCGUCGUCCCCGCCA
RNAcentral lists this transfer RNA (77 nucleotides) under Gemmatimonadota bacterium. RNAcentral's name for it is "Gemmatimonadetes bacterium tRNA-Asp". It matches the Rfam family "tRNA". Rfam says of the family: Transfer RNA (tRNA) molecules are approximately 80 nucleotides in length. Their secondary structure includes four short double-helical elements and three loops (D, anti-codon, and T loops). Further hydrogen bonds mediate the characteristic L-shaped molecular structure. tRNAs have two regions of fundamental functional importance: the anti-codon, which is responsible for specific mRNA codon recognition, and the 3' end, to which the tRNAs corresponding amino acid is attached (by aminoacyl-tRNA synthetases). tRNAs cope with the degeneracy of the genetic code in two manners: having more than one tRNA (with a specific anti-codon) for a particular amino acid; and 'wobble' base-pairing, i.e. permitting non-standard base-pairing at the 3rd anti-codon position. The record is from RNAcentral. RNAcentral also lists the same sequence under 1 other name. Lineage: Bacteria; Pseudomonadati; Gemmatimonadota.